Molecule: ribosomal RNA, 714 nt
Filed under: uncultured bacterium
Lineage: Bacteria
Description: bacterial SSU rRNA
Rfam family: Bacterial small subunit ribosomal RNA
Source: RNAcentral
UUCGUUCCCCUGUGAACUGGAGACCUUGAGUUACAGGAGAGGGAAAGCCGAUUUACUUACGGUAUGCGGUUCCAUGCAUUGAUAUUUAGCAGUAACAACCAGUGGGCGAGCCGGCUUUUCUUGGACUUGUUACCUGACACUGAGGUACGAAUGUCGUGGGGGAGCCAAACCAUGAUUUAGAUAUCCUCGCUAGUUUACGCUGUAACGAUGAGCACUAGUUGUCGGCGUUCGCCACGAUCUUCGUUGCCGCAGUUGUCGCAUUAAGUGCUUCUCCCUGGGGAGUACGCACGCAAGUGUGAAACUCAAACGAAUUGACGGGGGCCCGCACAAGCAGCAGAGCAUGUGGUUUUAUUAGAAGCAACGCGAAGAACCUUACCUAGACUUGACAUCUCCUGAAUUACCCUUAACCGGGGAAGCCCUUCGGGGCAGGAAGACAGGUGGUGCAUGGUUGUCGUCAGCUCGUGUCGUGAGAUGUUGGGUUAAGUCCCGCAACGAGCGCAACCCUUAUUUUUAGUUGCUACCAUUCGGUUGAGCACUCUAAAGAGACUGCCCGGGUUAACCGGGAGGAAGGUGGGGAUGACGUCAAAUCAUCAUGCCCCUUAUGUCUAGGGCUACACACGUGCUACAAUGGCGAGAACAAAGAGACGCAAGACCGCGAGGUGGAGCAAAUCUCACAAAACUCAUCCCAGGUCGGGAUGCCAGGUGAAAACUCGC